CUCUCUCGAUCUCGAUCCCUCUCUCGAGAACAGUGGCUCUCUGGUCCCUUCCCUCCUCCCCCGUCGGAUCGUUCACAUAUGCGUUCGCGCUUUCUCCUUUUCUUGGUUGAUGACCGCCGUCGCGAUCGCCGCCGAGACGAGGCUCUCCGUGGGCUGUAGCAUCUGUGUGCCAAUCCUGGUUUCUCGGUUCACGCUGACAAGUUAUUUGUCGUUUUGCUUGUGUGUUCGUGACGCAGAGCGGACAAAUCUGUGAUGGCGUCAAGGCGAUCUAAAAGCUCUGCCGAAGAAUUUGGGGCCUGCGCUCUCGGUAAGUGACGAGGAAGUGAUUCAUUCUAUCGCAUUAAGUUUCAUUUGAUUGCCGUGGUCUAGGUCUAAUUUGUGUGAUUAUUGCAUUUGGUGCUUGUCCUUGUGGUAUGAAUACCACGCUCAACAAAUGACAUGCUGACAAGUCAUUUGUUGUUUUGCUUGUGUGCUUGUGAUGCCGAGCGGAUGGCGUUCUCGGAUUUCCAAGAUGAUCUCAAAGCUAUGCAGAAGAAUUCGGGGGCUGGGCACUUGGGAAUCCUUGUUUCUUCAUGCUGAAGGAAGAAUCUACUUGAGCGUCUUCCUGAAGCAACGCGUCACGAGCUUAAGCUUGUAUUUUGCUUUGUCCCGGCACCAGGAAGAGAAUCUAUCCUCUCUCUCUCUUUGGUCGUUUCUUUGCCCGUAGUGCAGGCUGAGUCACAUUGCACAGAGGCCACGCGUUAACGCCAUUAAACUUAUCAAACAAUUCCGCUACCCAUAGUGUUCCAGAGAUUUGGAGAAAAUAAAGGCCGAGUCGACAUCGCCCAGACAAUUCUGAUGCCCACAGCGUUCUGGAUAUUAAGAAGGAAGACACGGCUAUAAAUCAUCACCAACCAAACCCAACAUUGGAUGUGAAGAAGAAUGAAAGAGAAUAGUCGCAGCAACAUUGCAAAAAGGAAGGUCUUGAACAACAGCUCCAACGUUUAACAAGCCUGAAUGUCGAGCAGAAGAGACCAGAAUGAUGAGAGCUUCAUGAUCUUAGGGUCUUAUGCAAGUACAAGAACAGAAGGAUGCUCCGAUCUUGUUCAAGUUGGCAUAGGAGGUAUUGGAAAAGUUAUUAUCUUAAAGCUGAUUUAUAACAUGAAAGUGAAGAUGAUGACUAUCGACACUAGAUUUAGAUUAGUGUUGGAUGAUGUGUGGAAUGCACAAACUGAGCACAUAUGGGAAGAAGAUAUGAAAACAAAAUAUGUGUGUCUAUCAACAAAUGAAAUCCUGUAACUUCUAAGUG
Molecule: long non-coding RNA, 1288 nt
Organism: Musa acuminata AAA Group (dessert banana)
Lineage: Eukaryota; Viridiplantae; Streptophyta; Magnoliopsida; Zingiberales; Musaceae
Exons: 3
Source: RefSeq, a predicted model, not a curated record